CAUUUAAAGAGUGCGUAAUAGCUCACUGGUCGAGUGACUCUGCGCCGAAAAUGUACCGGGGCUAAACGUAUCACCGAAGCUGCGGACUGUUCUUACGAACAGUGGUAGGAGAGCGUUCUAAGGGCUGUGAAGCGAGACCGGAAGGACUCGUGGAGCGCUUAGAAGUGAGAAUGCCGGUAUGAGUAGCGAAAGAGGGGUGAGAAUCCCCUCCACCGAAUGCCUAAGGUUUCCUGAGGAAGGCUCGUCCGCUCAGGGUUAGUCGGGACCUAAGCCGAGGCCGAAAGGCGUAGGCGAUGGACAACAGGUUGAUAUUCCUGUACCACCUCCUCACCAUUUGAGCAAUGGGGGGACGCAGGAGGAUAGGGUAAGCGCGGUAUUGGAUAUCCGCGUCCAAGCAGUUAGGCUGGGAAAUAGGCAAAUCCGUUUCCC
Molecule: ribosomal RNA, 429 nt
Filed under: Bacillus paralicheniformis
Lineage: Bacteria; Bacillati; Bacillota; Bacilli; Caryophanales; Bacillaceae
Description: partial 23S ribosomal RNA
Rfam family: Bacterial large subunit ribosomal RNA
Source: RNAcentral